AUGCCUGUCCGAGCGUCAUUUCAACCCUCGAACCCCUCCGGGGGGUCGGCGUUGGGGAUCGGCCCUGCCUUGGCGGUGGCCGUCUCCGAAAUACAGUGGCGGUCUCGCCGCAGCCUCUCCUGCGCAGUAGUUUGCACACUCGCAUCGGGAGCGCGGCGCGUCCACAGCCGUUAA
Molecule: ribosomal RNA, 174 nt
Filed under: Trichoderma aureoviride
Lineage: Eukaryota; Fungi; Ascomycota; Sordariomycetes; Hypocreales; Hypocreaceae
Also listed under: 1 other name
Description: 5.8S ribosomal RNA
Source: RNAcentral